AUACGGAGGGUGCAAGCGUUGUUCGGAAUCACUGGGCGUAAAGGGCGCGCAGGCGGUUUGAUUAGUCAGAUGUGAAAGCCCACGGCUUAACCGUGGAAGUGCAUUUGAAACUGUCAGACUUGAGUACCAGAGGGGGUAGUGGAAUUCCCGGUGUAGAGGUGUAAUUCGUAGAUAUCGGGAGGAAUACCGGUGGCGAAGGCGACUACCUGGCUGGAUACUGACGCUGAGGCGCGAAAGCGUGGGGAGCAAACAGGAUUAGAAACCCGAGUAGUCC
This 274-nucleotide ribosomal RNA is filed under the name uncultured bacterium. RNAcentral describes it as "partial 16S ribosomal RNA". It matches the Rfam family "Bacterial small subunit ribosomal RNA", at positions 523 to 796 of the family's 1533-position model. The record is from RNAcentral.